GGAAGAAAGUAAGAAAAUCGAAAAGAACAGAAAGAAAAGGAAUCCAGAGCCUGGUGGUGGCGAAUUCCCGCUGGAAUCCUGAGCAGAACCAACAACCCAGCCACAUACCUGGACGAAAGGGUAGAAAGCGGACAUGAACAAUUUCAUGAUUCAAAGGCGAUAAACAGCCAUCCCCUUCAUCAUUCGUAAGAGAAAGAAGAUGUUGAAGAAACAAGAGGUAGAAAUAAACCCCAUUCUUCCGUCCUGGGAUGUCAGAUCAAGCUCAAGUGUCUGUCGGGACGUUAAAAUCACACCAUCCUCAACCCGCCCGCCGGAGCCUCGGUUUCUCCCGAUACCGCCACCAUCAAUCGUAGUCAUCAUCACGCUCAUGUUCCAUGUCCUGUACAUAGCACAGAACUUUGUAACUUCCCAACGACGACGAGAAGACUGAGCCAAGAUACCCCCAUGGCAUGUGGCAUGCAUGCCGCAUCGCGGAGCAUUAUUCACAACAAGCAGAUGACAGGGCACGGUGAGGAAGUGAAAUGCCAACUCAUCACUUCCAGAUCAUCCAUCCAUACGGCGGGGCGGUUUGAUCACUCUGAUCACGGCGCAAGAAGCAAAGCGGUCAAGCCCUGCGGCUGCCUGCGGAGUGCGGGGCAGCCAGCCAGAGCCAGCGCCAGCGCCAGCGCCAGCACCAGGACCAGGACCAGGCCUUCCGACUCUUUUGUUUUUGUGGAUUGUUGUUCUUCCUCAAACUCCCGUGCAGCAUGAUAUGAUAUUGAAAACCCUCUCCCCCGCGUCCGUAUCUGCGCUCAUCGAGGUCAGCAUACACAGCCACCUGAGCGAUGCGUUGGCGUCUUCCUUCUUCCAGAUUUUCCCAUGGGGCGUUAUUGUUCUUGAGUCCUUCGGCUCAAUAUGUUUUUCACUUAUUUCCCCAGCUCGUGACGGACAAGGGGUGGCGGGGUAAUUCUGUCGUUGGCUACGCGUUGGAUAUCUUUCAGCUAGGCCACUCUCGUCAGGCCAAUUUACAGAAUUGACAUCGUGGACAAAAAUGACAUAAAAAUGCAAAGUAAAAACUAUUGUUAUUAUUAUUCUUGUUAUUAUUAGUGUUGUAUUCCACUUUUCCCUUAGUACAGCAGACGCGACACAUAUAUAACGUUGAACGCUGGAAGCACGAAUAGCAAAGUUAAAGCAUGUAUGGUGGUAAUGGUAAUGGUAUAUUUAAUAUGCAACUGGCAAGAUAAGAUACAUACAUGAAAGCGAGACAUGAGAACAAAAGCGGGAAAGCGCAAGAAGUAAAAACACACAAUACACACAAAAAGACAAAUAGGGCUAUGACCACCGUUGAUCUUGCGACUGUUCUUGCUCCGGCUGAGGGGAAAAAAAAGAAAGGAUCCUUGGGGGUGGGGGUAUCUAAAAGGUCGCUGGUCUGAUAACAAUACUAUAUAUGAUGCUGGGAGGAAGACAGCAAGAUGCUUGAGGUAAAAUAAGGACGUUGGAUGAAUGGAUGAGCGAUGGGAAACAUGAAAAAGAAAAAGCAAAAACAUAGAUCCUUCCCAGGCCAGAAUUAUGCAUGCAGUUAAUGACAACUUUGAAAAAAAAAACAUCCGUUAAAGACAACAAAAUAAAUAAUAGACAAUUAAAAAUUAAAACAAUCACCAGCCCUUGACGUGAUAUUCCCAUGGGCCGUAAUCGAAAUAGUGAUUCCACGAAUUAUUCUUGGAGGUCUCCUUAUCCCGUGCGGCUGAGUUAGGCGCAGCGGCGAUAUUUUGCGACUGUGUUUGUGUCUGCUUCAGGCCAUUCAGUUUCAUAUUUGUCGUGCUUGGAUACUCCUGCAGAUUCGCCAUGUCGUGUGCUGUAUGCCGUCGCUUGAAGCCCGCGGUGACCGUGGUGGACUUCUGUUGCCGCUCCCAGAGUAGAUGUCGUCGUAGUGACUCCGUCAACUCGGUGGCGAGCAUGUUUCUUCGGGUUGUUCGGGGCGAGUGGGCUGUUUGGUGUUGGUAGGCGGGCAUUGACUUGACGAUUAUGGGUUUUGAGCGGGGGACGUCGGGGCCUUUCAUGGUGAGGGUGUUCUCGUCACUGUCUGGGGAAGCGGCGGCGGAAUUUCGCGUGGGAGAGGAGAGGCGCGAUUGUUGGAGGGCUGGUGUCGAUCGGGAGCCUGUGGGAGCUUCAUUCAUCCGUUGCGGUUGGUGGAUCAUCAUUGUUAGCAGCGAGGGGCGCGAGACGAGGUUCGGUCGCGAGUCGACGCGCUGGAAUAAUUCCUUUUCAUCAACGCUCGAUCGACCACUUUCGGGAAUCGAGUCUUCCCAUUCUGAAGAAUCAUCGUCAUCCUCGAUGGCGCUCUCUGAAAUCUCCUCAUCGUCAUCGGUCUCGAUCGCGUCCUCGUCCUCCGAGGCUUCAGUAAUUGGUCGGAUGGGUGAUCUAGAACUCAUCGAAUUUUUCAAUACGGCCAUCUUUUGCAUGGUGUCAGCAACUUGAUGUAGACCAUCUGAUAGCGAGCUGCGUUGUUGCUGUUGCUGCUGUUGUUGUUGCUGCUGUUGCUGCUGUUGCUGUUGCUGUUGUUGGAGUGGUUGUUGGGGUUUCGUCGUCAUGCGAUCCUCAAACGAGCUCUCGUCGUCACCUGAUGAGCCACCCAGGGUAAACAUCCCACCCUUCUUCUUGAGCGGUGAGCCCUUUUGUGUCACAGCUGUCUUUGAAGGAGAGGAACUUGUUGAUAUUUGUGGGUGUGAUCGGUAUGAUGAGGAAAUUUGUGAAGGGGAAAAUCCACGGACAACGCUGGAUGACUCUAAGAGUCCUGAGGACGAGACACUGGUGUCAGAGUCUGCUUGAGGAGCAUGAUCACUUUCUAAGGCUUCGAGGGCAGCUGUAGAACAUGAAUCUGACGAUUGAUGAGGGCGGACUUGAUGUGAUUCUAAUAGAUCAGGGGUGGGAGUGGGUGAGGAGGCACGGGGUGUAAUGUCAACCGUGGCGGUAGUGGUAGUUGUAAUUGACGUUGAGGGCUG
Molecule: small RNA, 2981 nt
Filed under: Histoplasma capsulatum
Lineage: Eukaryota; Fungi; Ascomycota; Eurotiomycetes; Onygenales; Ajellomycetaceae
Description: hypothetical RNA
Source: RNAcentral